RNAcentral lists this long non-coding RNA (762 nucleotides) under Homo sapiens (human). Its description in RNAcentral is "non-protein coding lnc-ZNF14-2:2". The record is from RNAcentral. Lineage: Eukaryota; Metazoa; Chordata; Mammalia; Primates; Hominidae.
GGGUUUGGGUUCACACGGAUGCUGUUUUGUUCUCUCUAUCGUGUUCCAACAAGGAAUCCAAUUCCAGGUCCAGAUGAUGCGCAGAAUAAGCAGUGAGCUCUUCAGGGCCACUGAGUUUUAUGAAAUGUUUUGGUGAAAGUGGAUUUUACUAUUCCCGGGUUGAAGAUUGUCUUGGUGGCCUUCAACUGUGAGUGACGGUGAAUCAAGCUGUGGACGUGGCAUGCAGGUUUUACAUGGCCAUCAGUUUUCAAAUCAGUGGGAUCAGUCUCUGAGAAUCUUCUGGGACAUGUGGCACGAGUCCACCGAGUUUCGUGCAGAGCCGCCCAACGGGUUCCCAAAGGGGCUGUGCCCUGUCGCAUUCCCACCUGGCAGGGACAAAGGUCCCCGGGACCGCACAUCGUCUCGGCAUUUGGUGUCGUCAGUGUGGCUUGGGAAGGCUCCCGAGCCCCUCAUCCUGCCGCCCUCCCGUAGGUUACUGAACUUUCCACCAUUUCUCAUGAUUUUGUUCAUUGCUCUCUGUCUCCUCGGGAGCCACCUGGGCUCCGGCCCCACAUAUCCCAGCCAGGCCCAGGGCUUGCAACCAGGAAGGCACUCAGUCUAUUGUGCUAGCUGCUCCCUGGGCCUGGAAAGCUUUUGGUAGCUCUGUCACCCCUCCUGGGUGACCCCUGCCUCUGCUCUGGUGAAGCUCCCAUCCCUCUGGUUCACGCCAUCUCCCCAGGGCUCUCCAGCCCUGCAAGCCUUAAUUGACACUGCAUUGUGGCC